GCACUUGCACGCGCUGCCUGGUUGGAGGACAGUUGGAUACAUGUGCCAGGUUUCCGCUCCAUCUUCCAACACACCAAACACCCUAUCCCACCAGUAAAAGCAUCAUGCUUCCCAAGUCCCAUCGUAUAUACCGCUCACCCUGAUAUAUACCCGCCAGCCUCCCUCUCAUUCGAACAAAAUAUUUACGGAGAGAGAGGUCAGAGCGAAACGAAAUCUAUCUAUUUCUCACACUCUCUCUCUCUCUCAAAAUCCCCCAAACUUCGGGUUGUUUGGUGUUUCUCGCGAAGUCUGCGCUAACAAAAAGCGGCCUUUUUUUGGCUCCAAAUUUGAGCAAAAAAGCCAUUUUUUUUCUGAUUCUUUCCCGAUUUAGAGACCGAAUUCGGAGGAUUGGGAGCCAAGGUCUCUGGCAUGGACUCCCCGGAGACGUAGAACAUCCGGCUCCCUUCAAUUCUGCUAUUGUUUCUCCCAUUUUUUGAUCUUCUUCGCGGAGAAAGAGGUGGGGUGUAGGUGAGAGAGAGAGAGAGAGAGAGAGAGAG
RNAcentral lists this long non-coding RNA (536 nucleotides) under Phoenix dactylifera (date palm). Its description in RNAcentral is "long non-coding RNA (PDAC_LNC004088)". The record is from RNAcentral. Lineage: Eukaryota; Viridiplantae; Streptophyta; Magnoliopsida; Arecales; Arecaceae.